GCCCGGAGGCUGACAGAACAAGACGGAAGCCCUUCAAGAGAAUUGCCAAUAAAGAAACUGAAAAUGGGCACCGCCUUCUGGAGGUUCCCAUACGAGCUGGGAACAGCCGGGACUAACUCUUCUCCAACGUGAUCGCUAAUUGGCAGCAGCAAGACAGCCUGUGAGCUCAAGAAAACAGCUGCCUGACAAUCCUGGAGAUUUUGUGUUACAGGCCCCACCACAGGAAGAAACUGAUGCUAUCAAACAGUGCCCCAUUCCAGAUUCCCAGAGAAGAGAAGCUGAUUGGUCCAGCUGGGGUCCACUGUACACACCUCAGCUCCAAUCAUCUGUGACCAAGAAAGCAGCAGCCCACUGUACAGACCUGGGCUUACUCCUGCCAUCCUGAGGAUGGAGAUAAAGGAGGAGGUCUCAAAGCGUGGGAGAAGAGGAGUGUCUCCGUGUGGAGGCACCCAAGGUAUCAUUCCACUUUACAUAGUAGGGCAGAAAGAGGACUAAUGCAUUUCAGAAUAAUUUUCAAUAACCAAGGUCACACUCUAGAAGAUUUUCUGCACAUACCACAGUCAAGCCAAAAACUCAAUUUAGCUAGGCGUGUUUUGCUCUGCAUCCCAAAUGUAGCAGACACAGAUGGUUGCCCAUCUAACAGCCUGUUCCUCCUUCUCAACUAGCAGGAUCCCACAUAUAUUUAGAUGUCCAUUCCUCCCUCGUGUCAGUCAUAGAAAGCUUACCUUAUCCCUGUGUUUAGAAGGAAAUUAAUCUAAUGGUUGCAUUGUGACCCGUUUUGGCUUAGGCAUGGGCAUAUGACACAAUUGUGACCAAUGAAACAUGAUGACGGAUCUUCUGAGGGGCCUUCUGCAAAGAUAUUUUUCUCACUGAUAAAACGAAACUCAUAGGAACACUUUCUAACCUUCUACCACCUUGUGUCUGGAUGUGAUGCCCAGAACGGUGGCAGCCAUCGUAUGACUAUCAGGGGACCUAGCCUGAGGAUUAGAGAGUCGAAAUACGCCUCUGUCUUCCAGAAUCCGUCCCUUAAUAUCUGAUGGACCUCUAGGAAAGAGGCUCUGAACUGCUGACUGGAAGUCCUCUGCUUGCCAGUGUGACUUGUCAGUUGCUGGACUUCGCUGUGGACAGAUUGCCCCGAGGCACAUGGGAUCUUGGCUCCCUGACCAGAGGUCAAACCUGCAACUUCUGCAUGAAAGUUAGAGUCUUUCUGGACUUUCUGGACUGACAGAGAAGACCCUAGUACUUCCUUUAAGGUUGUUGUGAGGAUUAAACAAGCUAGUGUAGAUCAUAUGGUAAAAAACAAAAAGCAAUGCCUGCUUUGUAAUAAGCAUUGAGUAAGGAUUUUGCUAUUAUUAUUUGCUGUUAUUUUAAAUGAACAUAGAAAGAGAUGCAGACGGAUGCCCCAGGUCGUUAACACGGGUCACAGUGUGGGGGGAGAGAAAGUUGGAAGAAAGAGAGAUAAACUGUGAUUUUCACAAAAUGUAAAUAUUAUUUAUGGUAAAAAUUAAAGUAAAAAUGAAGAAAUUAAUAUCUAUAAUGCUAUGAGGAAUAUGAAAGAACUAUAUAUGCAUGUGGAAAAAAU
This is a long non-coding RNA of Bubalus bubalis (water buffalo), 1582 nucleotides long. RefSeq lists it as uncharacterized. Lineage: Eukaryota; Metazoa; Chordata; Mammalia; Artiodactyla; Bovidae. The transcript has 5 exons. The record is from RefSeq and is a predicted model, not a curated record.